AUUGAACGCUGGCGGCAUGCCUAACACAUGCAAGUCGAACGAGUGGAGGACGGGUGAGUAAUGUCUGGGAAAGUGCCUGAUGGAGGGGGAUAACUACUGUAAAAGGUAGCUAAAACCGCAUACAAUCGGAUGUGCCCAGAUGGAAGUAGCGAGUCGGGGGGGUAAAGGCUCACCUAGGCGACGAGCCCUAGCUGGUCUGCGCGGAUGACCGUCCACACUGGAACUGCGACACGGCCCAGACUCCUACGGGAGGCAGCAGUGGGGAAUCUGUCACAAUGGGCGCAAGUCUGACGCAGCAAUGCCGCUGGUAUGAAGAAGGCCUUCGGGUUGUAAAGUACUUUCAGCGGGGAAGCGUUACCCGCAGAAGAAGCACCGGCUAACUCCGUGCCAGCAGCCGCGGUAAUUC
RNAcentral lists this ribosomal RNA (406 nucleotides) under uncultured bacterium. Its description in RNAcentral is "partial 16S ribosomal RNA". It matches the Rfam family "Bacterial small subunit ribosomal RNA", at positions 30 to 526 of the family's 1533-position model. The record is from RNAcentral.